Molecule: transfer RNA, 91 nt
Filed under: Omnitrophica WOR_2 bacterium RBG_13_44_8
Lineage: Bacteria; Pseudomonadati; Candidatus Omnitrophota
Description: tRNA-Ser
Rfam family: tRNA
About the family: Transfer RNA (tRNA) molecules are approximately 80 nucleotides in length. Their secondary structure includes four short double-helical elements and three loops (D, anti-codon, and T loops).
Source: RNAcentral
GGAGAGGUGCCAGAGUGGUUGAAUGGGACGGUCUCGAAAACCGUUGUGGGGCUCGUCCCCACCGUGGGUUCGAAUCCCACCCUCUCCGCCA